This 465-nucleotide ribosomal RNA is filed under the name uncultured bacterium. Its description in RNAcentral is "partial 16S ribosomal RNA". It matches the Rfam family "Bacterial small subunit ribosomal RNA", at positions 28 to 507 of the family's 1533-position model. The record is from RNAcentral.
GAUGAACGCUGGCGGCGUGCUUAACACAUGCAAGUCGAACGGAAAGGCUCCUGCUUGCAGGGGUACUCGAGUGGCGAACGGGUGAGUAACACGUGGGUGAUCUGCUCUGCACUUCGGGAUAUGCCUGGGAAAGUGGGUCUAAUACCGGAUAGGACGAUGGUUUGGAUGCCAUUGUGGAAAGUUUUUCGGUGUGGGAUGAGCUCGCGGCCUAUCAGCUUGUUGGUGGGGUAAUGGCCUACCAAGGCGUCGACGGGUAGCCGGCCUGAGAGGGUGUACGGCCACAUUGGGACUGAGAUACGGCCCAGACUCCUACGGGAGGCAGCAGUGGGGAAUAUUGCACAAUGGGCGGAAGCCUGAUGCAGCGACGCCGCGUGGGGGAUGACGGCCUUCGGGUUGUAAACUGCUUUCGCCAGGGACGAAGCGCAAGUGACGGUACCUGGAGAAGAAGCACCGGCUAACUACGUG